UCCUCCCCAUUGUGAAUCACAAGUUUGGAUCAUGUGACGUGUGCACUCCUUUACAGACAGGGGUAAAGUUAGAGGUAAAAGGAUUUUCAUUGUGACCACAGUGAGUAUUAGGCAGAAUGUGCUAAUCUGGGGUCUGGUCAUCAUCCGUAGCCUUUUUUAUCAUAUGAAAGAGGCAGCUCAGAGGGAUUUUCAGGACUGGUAAUACAAGAGCUGACGAUUAAAUAACCCCCAGACUCCAUCACAUUAUCCAUUCAUAUCAAGGAUCAAGUGUCAGCUGGUCUGCUGGUAGUUUCAUCUGGAUCGGAUUGUGCAACGUUUUGGAAUUUUUUUUUCUGCCUCAUUUAUCUCAAAGAAUCCAAUCAUAAUGAAUAUAUUUAGAAAUAACUUAUUUUAAAGUCACAUUUAAAUAUUGAUAUCAAAGGAGACUAAGCAAAUGUCACUAUUUCUAAAAAGCAGAUAUUUAUACUUGAAAAUAGUCUUGUUUUGUGUCUCACUUAAAUGAUGAAGAAGAGAAUAUUUUGUAUCAAAGUAGCGGUUUAUUUUUCCAAACACUAAUGGCAACUCUAUGGCUGUAAAUGUGACUAUUUACCCCGAAAACAAUGUACUGGAAAACUUGCCAUUAAUCUUGUAGAUUCAUGAGUUUUACGUGUAACAUAAGCUAUGUAUAAAGCUGCUUCUAAACGUCA
Xenopus laevis (African clawed frog) is the source of this 686-nucleotide long non-coding RNA. RefSeq lists it as uncharacterized. The record is from RefSeq and is a predicted model, not a curated record. The transcript has 3 exons. NCBI's taxonomy places the organism in Eukaryota, Metazoa, Chordata, Amphibia, Anura, Pipidae.